RNAcentral lists this ribosomal RNA (491 nucleotides) under uncultured bacterium. Its description in RNAcentral is "bacterial SSU rRNA". It matches the Rfam family "Bacterial small subunit ribosomal RNA", at positions 27 to 509 of the family's 1533-position model. The record is from RNAcentral.
GAUUGAACGCUGGCGGCAUGCUUUACACAUGCAAGUCGAACGGCAGCACAGGGAGCUUGCUCCUGGGUGGCGAGUGGCGCACGGGUGAGUAAUACAUCGGAACGUGUCCUAUCGUGGGGGAUAACUGAGCGAAAGCUCGGCUAAUACCGCAUAAGACCUGAGGGUGAAAGUGGGGGAUCGAAAGACCUCAUGCGAUUGGAGCGGCCGAUGCCCGAUUAGCUAGUUGGUGAGGUAAAGGCUCACCAAGGCGACGAUCGGUAGCUGGUCUGAGAGGACGACCAGCCACACUGGGACUGAGACACGGCCCAGACUCCUACGGGAGGCAGCAGUGGGGAAUUUUGGACAAUGGGGGCAACCCUGAUCCAGCCAUGCCGCGUGCAGGAUGAAGGUCUUCGGAUUGUAAACUGCUUUUGUCAGGGAAGAAAAGGUACGUGCUAAUACCACGUACUGCUGACGGUACCUGAAGAAUAAGCACCGGCUAACUACGUGCC